UGCAAGUCGAACGAUGAAGCUCCCAGCUUGCUGGGGGUGGAUUAGUGGCGAACGGGUGAGUAUCACGUGAGUAACCUGCCCUUGACUCUGGGAUAAGCCCGGGAAACUGGGUCUAAUACCGGAUAGGACUCCUCAUCGCAUGGUGGGGGGUUGAAAGAUUUUAUCGGUCUUGGAUGGGCUCGCGGCCUAUCAGCUUGACGGUGGGGUAGUGGCCUACCGUGGCUUUGACGGGUAGCCGGCCUGAGAGGGUGACCGGCCACACUGGGACUGAGACACGGCCCAGACUCCUACGGGAGGCAGCAGUGGGGAAUAUUGCACAAUGGGCGCAAGCCUGAUGCAGCGACGCCGCGUGCGGGAUGACGGCCUUCGGGUUGUAAACCGCUUUCAGUACAGAAGAAGCCCUUUUUGGGUGACGGUAUGUGCAGAAGAAGCGCCGGCUAACUACGUGCCAGCAGCCGCGGUAAUACGUAGGGCGCGAGCGUUAUCCGGAAUUAUUGGGCGUAAAGAGCUUGUAGGCGGUUUGUCACGUCUGCUGUGAAAGCCCGGGGCUUAACUCCGGGUGUGCAGUGGGUACGGGCAGGCUAGAGUGCA
Molecule: ribosomal RNA, 591 nt
Filed under: Nesterenkonia sp. CLR-100-B1
Lineage: Bacteria; Bacillati; Actinomycetota; Actinomycetes; Micrococcales; Micrococcaceae
Description: bacterial SSU rRNA
Rfam family: Bacterial small subunit ribosomal RNA
Source: RNAcentral